GGCUCGAGCAGGUGCGAAAGCAGGUCAUAGUGAUCCGGUGGUUCUGAAUGGAAGGGCCAUCGCUCAACGGAUAAAAGGUACUCCGGGGAUAACAGGCUGAUACCGCCCAAGAGUUCAUAUCGACGGCGGUGUUUGGCACCUCGAUGUCGGCUCAUCACAUCCUGGGGCUGAAGUAGGUCCCAAGGGUAUGGCUGUUCGCCAUUUAAAGUGGUACGCGAGCUGGGUUUAGAACGUCGUGAGACAGUUCGGUCCCUAUCUGCCGUGGGCGCUGGAGAAUUGAGGGGGGCUGCUCCUAGUACGAGAGGACCGGAGUGGACGCAUCACUGGUGUUCGGGUUGUCAUGCCAAUGGCACUGCCCGGUAGCUAAAUGCGGAAAAGAUAAGUGCUGAAAGCAUCUAAGCACGAAACUUGCCCCGAGAUGAGUUCUCCCUGACCCUUUAAGGGUCCUGAAGGAACGUUGAAGACGACGACGUUGAUAGGUCGGGUGUGUAAGCGCAGCGAUGCGUUGAGCUAACCGAUACUAAUGAACCGUGAGGCUUAAC
Molecule: ribosomal RNA, 542 nt
Filed under: Enterobacter asburiae
Lineage: Bacteria; Pseudomonadati; Pseudomonadota; Gammaproteobacteria; Enterobacterales; Enterobacteriaceae
Description: partial 23S ribosomal RNA
Rfam family: Bacterial large subunit ribosomal RNA
Source: RNAcentral